UACGGAGGGUGCAAGCGUUAAUCGGAAUUACUGGGCGUAAAGCGUACGUAGGCGGUUUCGUAAGUCGGGUGUGAAAGCCCCGGGCUCAACCUGGGAAUUGCAUUCGAGACUGCGAAGCUAGGGCGCGGAAGAGGGAAGUGGAAUUUCCGGUGUAGCGGUGAAAUGCGUAGAUAUCGGAAGGAACAUCAGUGGCGAAAGCGACUUCCUGGUCCAGCGCCGACGCUCAGGUGCGAAAGCGUGGGGAGCAAACAGG
RNAcentral lists this ribosomal RNA (253 nucleotides) under uncultured bacterium. RNAcentral describes it as "partial 16S ribosomal RNA". It matches the Rfam family "Bacterial small subunit ribosomal RNA", at positions 524 to 776 of the family's 1533-position model. The record is from RNAcentral.